AAUUUUUCUGUUAUUUCUCGCGGAACAGCUUACAGUAUAAAUUGUGGCCUCCUUUCCUCCGGAAAAAGAAUCACUCAAAAAGUAACGAAUCCUCCCCCUGGAUAGCCUGUAAAAGUAGCAUGCCGGUUAAAAUAUUUUUAGUUUGUUGCUCGAAGAAUUGUGUUCGUUUUCUUAUCGAGUUUUAUUUAUUUUUAGUCACGAGAAGCUUAGAGUGAUAACUGCAGCUAGAAAUGUACCAACCAGUGUGAUGGAAGUCGAGGAAUUUUCAAAAGAAAUCUACAUUCGGGAUAUUCCAUUUUUCCGUCCCGUUUCUCUUGAUCAAUGUGCUUUCGCCCCUUUUUCCAAUCGAAAAAUCAACAUGUAGAUAAGCGCUGUAAAAAGUAAACAUUUCCUCACCGAAAUCACCUGUUGAAACAAAAUGGCCGUCAAUACAUUUUUGGUUUGUUUCUUCAAGUUGCUGUCUUACAGAGUUGCGUCACUUUUCAACCCCGAUGACCUAGUCUUGAGCUGUAGCUUUUCCCCUGACCCCCCAAAACAUGGUCAAUUACAUACGACGGUCUCCUUCAUCAUGUCUUUCAAAGGCUCAGAGAAGGAAGUACCAACGAUGUUCUUAUCGCCCUAUAUAAAUGCCGACGAAUACUUUUAAAUUACGUGUAUGCCCGAUGGAAUCCUGUGAGGCGGAAAGUGAUGUCAUAUUCCUUUAAUCAAGUGACCUCUUCUGUGGGUUUGUAAAUUUUCAUUUUCAAAAACACAGAUGAUCAAGUAUGAUGUCACUCGGACGUGGUGACUUCUUUUAACAAGUAAGCACACGUAAAUUCUCAAUUUGUUCGUUGAUUCGAGCAUAUUCACUCAGCGGAGGGUUUUGAAUAUUAAGUAUGAGCAACGAGAAAUAUCAAUCCUGUUAGCCCUCCCGCUUCCAAAAAACGAAAAGAAAACAUAAUCCGCAAAAAUUAAUGACAUGUAUUUUAUCGAUAUGAAUUAAAGUUUAUUUUUUCAUGGACGGCCACAAUCUGUCGCUCCUCAGACGGAAUAAUUCAAAUUCAA
This is a non-coding RNA of Bemisia tabaci, 1044 nucleotides long. Lineage: Eukaryota; Metazoa; Arthropoda; Insecta; Hemiptera; Aleyrodidae. The record is from RefSeq and is a predicted model, not a curated record.